AUAAGAACCGCUGCCCCUCUUGGGCAGAGCUCAGAUUAUUUGGAAUGACGUUAAGGUUAUUUUCUUGGUGGUUUGCCAUUGUGGAUCUCAGUGGGUUUUGAAAAUGAAAACUCCGGUGAUGAAAAGAUCUCCUUCGCUUCCCACAGACGGCGCCAUUUGAUAAAUAUUUUCCUCUUCCUGGUCCAUGAUAGAUCUGGUUUUCUUCUGGGUCCCUUCUUGCUGGGCUCCCUGGUGGAUCUCUCCAUGUUCUUCCUGGUGAAGGGACCUGUAAAAUAAGAAAGAAAGGUCAGGGGCCUACCGGGUGUGCCCCGGCAGAGGCCCUCCGACGCUCAAGUCAGAUUUUAUGGCUCAGAGUUGUAUAUUUAGGCAAGGGUUACAGAAAGAAUAAAAAUGGUGUCCAGGAAGGAAAAGGAAGAAGAAGAGAGCCCCCCCUUUGCGUGGCCUUUACCGUGAUAUAUAUAUCUGUCUCUCUGCCACAAUGCUAGCUGUCUUCUGCCGUCUAGCUAGCUCCGUAUGUACGGAUGUGUCAGGCGCCUGCUCCAUGCGUAACGGCAAUUGAUUCUCCUCUGAUACGCAUGCGGAAGGACCUACCAGCGGGGCAUCUUGGUCAUUUUCCCCUUUCUGGGCUGGGUUGAAUGGUAGGGCUGAAGUUGAGCCUGGUGAGGGCCUGAUUACUGGGCCAAGAGGUUUGGGCCGGC
This 698-nucleotide long non-coding RNA is filed under the name Manihot esculenta (cassava). RNAcentral describes it as "long non-coding RNA (MESC_LNC004231)". Lineage: Eukaryota; Viridiplantae; Streptophyta; Magnoliopsida; Malpighiales; Euphorbiaceae. The record is from RNAcentral.